This 486-nucleotide ribosomal RNA is filed under the name uncultured bacterium. Its description in RNAcentral is "bacterial SSU rRNA". It matches the Rfam family "Bacterial small subunit ribosomal RNA", at positions 28 to 526 of the family's 1533-position model. The record is from RNAcentral.
GACGAACGCUGGCGGCGUGCUUAACACAUGCAAGUCGAACGAUGAAGCCUAGCUUGCUGGGUGGAUUAGUGGCGAACGGGUGAGUAACACGUGAGUAACCUGCCCUUGACUCUGGGAUAAGCGUUGGAAACGACGUCUAAUACCGGAUACGAGCUUCCACCGCAUGGUGAGUUGCUGGAAAGAUUUUUUGGUCAAGGAUGGACUCGCGGCCUAUCAGCUUGUUGGUGAGGUAAUGGCUCACCAAGGCGACGACGGGUAGCCGGCCUGAGAGGGUGACCGGCCACACUGGGACUGAGACACGGCCCAGACUCCUACGGGAGGCAGCAGUGGGGAAUAUUGCACAAUGGGCGGAAGCCUGAUGCAGCAACGCCGCGUGAGGGAUGACGGCCUUCGGGUUGUAAACCUCUUUUAGCAGGGAAGAAGCGAAAGUGACGGUACCUGCAGAAAAAGCACCGGCUAACUACGUGCCAGCAGCCGCCGUAACAC